GUGCGCUGUGGUGAUCUUUCAGAGACUGUACCGACUGGAAUUUAGCGACCACUGUCCGUUUUAGAGACCGUACGGUCGGCGGCGGGCGUCCCGAUCCUCGCCUGGGGCGGAGAGGGGAGCGCGCGUCCCCCUCCGCCGCAUUCCGUCCGUCCCAUUCACUGCCCGCUCGCGAUGUGCGGAGAGCCGACGGAAGUGUCGAGUGUGUGCCGUGCGGUGUCACCUGCCGUCUCCUCUUCCGACCUGAAGGAACGCAGGAUGCGAGGAUCGUCGGGCGACACCACCACUCGAGAUUCGUAGAUCGAUGGACGGAGCGGCAGCCGCGACGCGACGAAGUGUGUCGUAAUGUGACGGGAUGUGACCCGGAAAUGGGUGUGUAUUUAUCCCAGAAAUACAUUUAUUCCGAA
Molecule: long non-coding RNA, 404 nt
Organism: Amphibalanus amphitrite
Lineage: Eukaryota; Metazoa; Arthropoda; Thecostraca; Balanomorpha; Balanidae
Exons: 2
Source: RefSeq, a predicted model, not a curated record